AAUUGUGUCGGUCGCAACUAGAAACGAAGUGGAGACUCACAAUUUCUUUCGUAGCAAUUAUGACAACUUGUGACUGACCCUAUCUCUGACCAAAGGCCACUCUUUCUGCGGCUGGUAGUCCGCAUCUUCACAGACAUGUCUAUUUCACCGAGCCUCUCUCCGAGACAGUGCCCAGAUCGUUACGCUGCCUCAUUCUUUCUUUGUUAUAUAUUCAUUCGAAUCUUUGGCUUCGUUUUCUCUCUUCUUCAUAUCUAGCAAAAAAUAAAAAAUUCUUUCAUAUUCAUUCUAAAAUUUUGCAUUUGAGUAAACCAUCUCUUUUUUUCCUUUAAUUCUAUUCUAUUAUCUUCUUCUUUGUAACAAAAAAUGUCUUCAAGCAAUAAUAUAUAAAUCGUAAGAAAGUGGAUAUAUAAUCG
Long non-coding RNA from Arabidopsis thaliana (thale cress), 413 nucleotides. RefSeq annotates it as other RNA. Lineage: Eukaryota; Viridiplantae; Streptophyta; Magnoliopsida; Brassicales; Brassicaceae. The transcript has 2 exons. The record is from RefSeq.